RNAcentral lists this ribosomal RNA (163 nucleotides) under uncultured bacterium. Its description in RNAcentral is "partial 16S ribosomal RNA". It matches the Rfam family "Bacterial small subunit ribosomal RNA", at positions 1339 to 1500 of the family's 1533-position model. The record is from RNAcentral.
UAAUGGCAGGUCAGCAUACUGCCGUGAAUACGUUCCCGGGCCUUGUACACACCGCCCGUCACACCAUGAGAGUUGGAAAUACCCGAAGCCUGUGAGCUGACCUUUUGGGGGGCAGCAGUCGAAGGUAGAGCCAAUGAUUGGGGUGAAGUCGUAACAAGGUAUC